Molecule: long non-coding RNA, 318 nt
Organism: Aplysia californica (California sea hare)
Lineage: Eukaryota; Metazoa; Mollusca; Gastropoda; Aplysiida; Aplysiidae
Exons: 2
Source: RefSeq, a predicted model, not a curated record
GCGCGUAUGGCUGGCGUGCACACCCCACGGACCCCACCAAGUUUCUCCUCGACGGCACCGAGAUGUCCUGCCCCGCCUACCUGGUCUUUAACUUCAGGAUCUGCACUUGCGAUUUCCCCUGAACAUCUCUCGGCAGGCCAGAAGCAGGCUCUUCACGUUCCUGUGGCCAGAAAAAAUGUCACAGCUAAAUCAGACUUGAUUUAAUGAAGAAAAAAUAUGUUUAUUAUUCUUUAUAUAAAUUCAUAAAAGUCACGUGUUUCAUUGCAUUUUUGAUAAAAACAAUAAAUCAGAAACGAAUUGUUUGUGUUUACACCCUAG